This 719-nucleotide ribosomal RNA is filed under the name Inonotus henanensis. RNAcentral describes it as "eukaryotic LSU rRNA". The stretch from base 289 to 442 matches the Rfam family "5.8S ribosomal RNA". The record is from RNAcentral. Lineage: Eukaryota; Fungi; Basidiomycota; Agaricomycetes; Hymenochaetales; Hymenochaetaceae.
GCGCUGCAGACUGCGGAGGACAUUAUCGAGUUUUGAAGCGAGAGGUCUGUGCUGGCGCGGAAACGCGUAUGUGCACGGCUUUUCGUGCUCAAAUCCAUUUCAACCCCUGUGCACCUUUAAGAGUCGAAGUCGGUAGUCUCUGUAAUUGAACGGGGCUUUGGAGUAUGCUUACCGGCAGAAAAGAGGCCUUUACUAGAGAAAAGGAGGCGAAGGCUUUUGGCUAAUAUUACAAAACACACUUUGAUUGUUAUGUGAAUGUAAUGCUCGUUGUGAGCGAUAAUGAAAUACAACUUUCAACAACGGAUCUCUUGGCUCUCGCAUCGAUGAAGAACGCAGCGAAAUGCGAUAAGUAAUGUGAAUUGCAGAAUUCAGUGAAUCAUCGAAUCUUUGAACGCACCUUGCGCCCCUUGGUAUUCCGAGGGGCAUGCCUGUUUGAGUGUCAUGUUAAUCUCAAAUCACUUGUUCUUUUCUUUACGGGAAGGAAGUGGUGGUUUGGACUUGGAGGUUUUUGCUGGCCCCAUUUGGUCGGCUCCUCUCAAAUACAUUAGCUGGACUUUGGUCUGCGUUUUACGGUGUGAUAAUUAUCACUUCACCAGAGCGCUUGCCUAAUGGGUCUGCUUCUAAUCGUCCUUAAGUUGGACAAGGAUCCCGUGAGUGGGCCUUCUUGACACCUUUGACCUCAAAUCAGGUAGGACUACCCGCUGAACUUAAGCAUACAA